Molecule: ribosomal RNA, 636 nt
Filed under: uncultured bacterium
Lineage: Bacteria
Description: bacterial SSU rRNA
Rfam family: Bacterial small subunit ribosomal RNA
Source: RNAcentral
GGCGGCGUGCCUAACACAUGCAAGUCGCACGAGAAAGGGCUUCGGCCUGAGUAAAGUGGCGCACGGGUGAGUAACACGUGACUAAUCUACCCUCGAGUGGGGAAUAACCUAGGGAAACCUGGGCUAAUACCGCAUAACACUUACGAGUCAAAGCAGCAAUGCGCUUGGGGAGGAGGUCGCGGCAGAUUAGUUAGUUGGUGGGGUAAUGGCCUACCAAGACGAUGAUCUGUAUCCGGCCUGAGAGGGCGCACGGACACACUGGAACUGAAACACGGUCCAGACUCCUACGGGAGGCAGCAGUGGGGAAUUUUGCGCAAUGGGGGAAACCCUGACGCAGCAACGCCGCGUGGAGGAUGAAGUCUCUUGGGACGUAAACUCCUUUCGACAGGGACGAUAAUGACGGUACCUGUAGAAGAAGCCCCGGCUAACUUCGUGCCAGCAGCCGCGGUAAUACGAGGGGGGCAAGCGUUGUUCGGAAUUAUUGGGCGUAAAGGGCGCGUAGGCGGUUUGGCAAGUUUCGUGUGAAAUCUUCGGGCUCAACUCGAAGUCUGCACGGAAAACUGCCGGGCUUGAGUAUGGGAGAGGUGAGUGGAAUUUCCGGUGUAGCGGUGAAAUGCGUAGAUAUCGGAAGGAACA